CCAAAGGCUCUUUUCAGAGCCACCUACACGGUCGGAAAAGAGUUG
Non-coding RNA from Struthio camelus australis, 45 nucleotides. NCBI's taxonomy places the organism in Eukaryota, Metazoa, Chordata, Aves, Struthioniformes, Struthionidae. The record is from Rfam.